AUACGGAGGGUGCAAGCGUUAAUCGGAAUUACUGGGCGUAAAGCGCAUGUAGGCGGACAUUUAAGUCAGGGGUGAAAUCCCGGGGCUCAACCUCGGAACUGCCUUUGAUACUGGGUGUCUAGAGUGUGGAAGAGGUAAGUGGAAUUCCGAGUGUAGAGGUGAAAUUCGUAGAUAUUGGGAGGAACACCAGUGGCGAAGGCGACUUUCGGGACUGUGUCUGACACUGAGGCGCGAAAGCCAGGGGAGC
Molecule: ribosomal RNA, 247 nt
Filed under: uncultured bacterium
Lineage: Bacteria
Description: partial 16S ribosomal RNA
Rfam family: Bacterial small subunit ribosomal RNA
Source: RNAcentral